This 885-nucleotide ribosomal RNA is filed under the name uncultured bacterium. Its description in RNAcentral is "bacterial SSU rRNA". It matches the Rfam family "Bacterial small subunit ribosomal RNA", at positions 25 to 906 of the family's 1533-position model. The record is from RNAcentral.
CAGGAUGAACGCUAGCGGAGGGCUUAACACAUGCAAGUCGAGGGGCAGCACGAUGUAGCAAUACAUUGGUGGCGACCGGCGCACGGGUGAGUAACGCGUAUGCAACCUACCCUGUACAGGGGGAUAGCCCGGAGAAAUUCGGAUUAAUACCCCAUAAUGAUAUUGAGAGGCAUCUUUUAAUAUUUAAAGUUUCGACGGUACGGGAUGGGCAUGCGUGACAUUAGCUAGUUGGUAGGGUAACGGCCUACCAAGGCUGCGAUGUCUAGGGGUCCUGAGAGGGUGAUCCCCCACACUGGUACUGAGACACGGACCAGACUCCUACGGGAGGCAGCAGUGAGGAAUAUUGGUCAAUGGACGUAAGUCUGAACCAGCCAUCCCGCGUGCAGGAAGAAGGCGCUAUGCGUCGUAAACUGCUUUUCCAGGGGAAGAAAACCUGAUACGUGUAUCGGCUUGCCGGUACCCUGGGAAUAAGCAUCGGCUAACUCCGUGCCAGCAGCCGCGGUAAUACGGAGGAUGCGAGCGUUAUCCGGAUUUAUUGGGUUUAAAGGGUGCGUAGGCGGAUUAAUAAGUCAGUGGUGAAAACCUUCAGCUUAACUGGAGACUUGCCAUUGAUACUGUUAGUCUUGAGUACGGUCAAGGUAGGCGGAAUGUGUAAUGUAGCGGUGAAAUGCUUAGAUAUUACACAGAACACCGAUUGCGAAGGCAGCUUACUGGGCCAUUACUGACGCUGAUGCACGAAAGCGUGGGGAGCGAACAGGAUUAGAUACCCUGGUAGUCCACGCCGUAAACGAUGAUCACUCGCUGUUAGCGAUACACAGUUAGCGGCUAAGCAAAAGCAUUAAGUGAUCCACCUGGGGAGUACGGCCGCAAGGCUGAAACUCAAAU